Molecule: ribosomal RNA, 1296 nt
Filed under: Malacosporea sp. 3 HH-2014
Lineage: Eukaryota; Metazoa; Cnidaria; Myxozoa
Description: SSU rRNA
Rfam family: Eukaryotic small subunit ribosomal RNA
Source: RNAcentral
GGAUAUCCGUGGAAAAUCUAGGCCAUACAUGCACUGAUAUCUAACAAGCGGUUCUUGUUAGGUGCUUUUAUUGGAUAUCCGAUCGCUCACAUCGAGAGCGUUAGGUGAUUCUAGAUGACCUAGCUGAUCGUAUGGCCUUGUGCCGACGACAGAUCAAACAAGAUCGCGCCCUAUCAAUUUGUCGUUUGGGUAUUGUCCAAACGAGGUUGUAACGGGUGACGGGGAAUCAGGGUUUGAUUCCGGAGAGGGAGCAUGAGAUAUCGCUACCACAUCUAAGGAAGGCAGCAGGCGCGCAAAUUACCCACUCCCGUUGGGGAGGUAGUGACGAGAAAUAUUGGCUCCUAUUCAAUUGGGUAGGAGACCAAAAUGGACGAAAUUCAGGUCCAUUCGUGAGUAACGAGCGAGGGCAAGUCUGGUGCCAGCAGCCGCGGUAAUUCCAGCUCUGCCCGAAUAUGUGAGAUUUGUUGCAUUUAAAAAGCUCGUAGUCGGACGGUUCCACAAUCGUUGAUUGGAGUGCUACAAGAUGUCGACCUAACUAAGGAGGCGAUAGUUCACUACAGUGUGACUAUGGACCAACGCACACUCCUAAUCUGCCCUUAAUUGGGUGAAUUAUGUAAGUUUGCGGACGUACCUUGAACAAAUCGGUUUGUUCAAACUAGUGCCUGGACAUUCAAGCAUGGAAUGUUCGAUCGAGACCUGAUCGUUUGGUCGGAACGAAUAAGGUCCAGGUCAAAAGAGACAUUUGGGGGCAUAAGAACUCGGCCGCGAGAGGUGAAAUUCUAAGACCGGCCGGGGUCUAACAAGAGCGAAAGCAUUUGCCAAGAAUGUUUUCAUUGAUCAAGAACGAAAGUUGGAGGAGCAAAACGAUCAGAUACCGUUGUAGCCAACUUUAAACUAUGCCGACUGUCGGGCCAGUUCGGUACAUCCGUACUAAUUGACCUCCCAGGGAAACCUAGCAGGGUUCUGGGGGGAGUACGGUCGCAAGUCUGAAACUUAAAGGAAUUGACGGAAGGGCACCACCAGGAGUGGAGCCUGCGGCUUAAUUUGACUCAACGCGGGGAAACUUUCCCGGUCCGGACAUCGGAAGGAUUGACAGACUAAUCGCUCUUUCAUGAUACGGUGGGGGGUGGUGCAUGGCCGUUCAUAGUUGGUGGAGCGAUUUGUCUGGUUAAUUCCGUUAACGAACGAGACAUUUUCCUUUAUUUAGUAGAUUCAAUUGGGGUUUGAAUUAACUAUUUAAAGGGACUAACGCAUUUAAAAGCGUUGGAAGUUGUCCGAUAACAGGUCUGUUAUGCC